UGGUAAGCAUAUAUGUUGCUGAUUUGAUGUGCAAUUGUUGCUGUAUUGGCUGAAUAAUCUAGGUGUAUGGAUCUUGCAGAUCGCUAUGGUGUAUGCUUCAGAAUGAUGAGGAAUGUCGUGUUGGUAAAAAAAAAAGAUAGCUCUCAAAAUAAUCUUUAUGUUUAUGCUUGGGAUUUGGGAAGCUUUCUACAACAAUUGUUUGAAGAAUAUCUGAAAGGUAUAAAGUAGCAAUUUUUUUGCGCUUAAUAAAGGGGUGUUAACGAAAUUUCUAGCACUUAUUGUAUGAGUUUGAUGGUCUUCCUAGAUUUGGCAGAUAGAAUAGUGUUAAAGUCAUUUCCUGCCAUUAUCUUUCUUUAAUUUUCUUAAUGAAAAUGUUUGCUACUCAUUAUAAAUCAUUGUGUAGAUAAAACAGAAACGAAUUUAAGGAGAAGAGUUGCGAGCUUUAUUAUUCCAGUUAUCAACUGCCUGCGUGUUUGUCAUCAUUAUAUAUGUUAUGCAUAUAGAUGAUGAUGAUGUAAGAAUCCAUAAAUAUUGAGGUAACCAAUUGAAGCACAAUGAUGGAAUUUCAAGUGCUUAUCUAAGAAAAUGGAAAUUUUACUUUCUUGU
Nicotiana attenuata is the source of this 606-nucleotide long non-coding RNA. RefSeq lists it as uncharacterized. The transcript is spliced from 2 exons. The record is from RefSeq and is a predicted model, not a curated record. Lineage: Eukaryota; Viridiplantae; Streptophyta; Magnoliopsida; Solanales; Solanaceae.